AUGAUCUCUGCUCCCAUCUCAGUGAUUGGGAUUCUCUUACUCUUUGGGGAUACUUAUGGAGAUUCAGUGAUCCAGACAGAAGGACAUAUCACCCUUCUUGAGAGAUCGCCACUUACACUGAACUGCUCUUAUAAGACCAGUGUACCUCCUUAUCUUCUCUGGUAUAUUCAGUAUCCCAAUGAAGCUCUGAAGCUUUUUGUGAGUGAGGCAUCAGGAAAAGAGCAGGAGAAAGACAACAAUGGAUUCUGGACUAAAAAGAAUACAGAAAAGUCUUCCUUCCACCUGGAGAAAACCUCGGUCCAAGUAGGAGAUUCUGCUGUGUACUACUGUGUCGUGAGUGACACAGUGACAAAGACUGUAGGGGGCACUUAUGGAGAUUCAGUGACUCAGACAGAAGGACCCAUUACUCUCUCUGAGGGAACAUCACUCACACUGAACUGCUCUUAUCAGACCAGUGGGGCACCUUAUCUCUUUUGUUAUCCUAAUUUGGAGCAUCCAGAAGAAUGUUUGUUUAAAAUUAGGAGCAACAAGAGUAGUAUCUGCUUUCUGUAUCCUGGAAGAGAAGUGGAUCUAAGGAAGGAAUUACUGACAUCCAUUUCCCCAUUAGUGGACAAGUCAUAA
This is a non-coding RNA of Sarcophilus harrisii (Tasmanian devil), 621 nucleotides long. The record is from the annotation of a RefSeq genome assembly. Lineage: Eukaryota; Metazoa; Chordata; Mammalia; Dasyuromorphia; Dasyuridae.